GGAGUUUUUUUUACCUUUGCCUGGCAGAAGCACGGAGUCCAGGAUUUCCUGGUGUUCCUGGCUCACGGCCUGGGGUGGUGGCCCCACACACUCCACACACACACACCCCACAGAGCCCUGCUGUGCUGUGGGCACCGGUGGUGGGCAAAAGCUUGGGCUUUGUCAGACCAGGUUUCCAUUCCCACCCCAUGUCUCACUGUGCCCUGGGCAGGUCACUGCCCCUCUCUGGAUCUGUUUCCUCACUUUGAAAAGGGGGCUCACCGUUAUUUGACCCUCUCAGGGUCCUCAAGAAGCACCAGCCCCAGGCCUGGCAUGGAGGAUGUGCUCAUUUGUCCCCCGCCCCGGCUGAGCCAGGUGGGAGGACGCAGUGGGUGCCUAUCUGGGGAAGCUUCCCCCUCCACCCACCUCUCCCUGCAGCCAUCUCUGCAGCCAGGCUGGUGCUGAGCUCAGCUAUGGGAAGGUACUGACAGACACAGAGCCAGGUGACACCUGAGGCUGGGGGAGGGGUGCACAGAGCUGACUCAAUAUCACCCGACAUCCCCAAGUCCCCGCAGCUGCUAGGCCAGUAGCUGUGAGGGCCCUCUCGUUACUAACUCAUCUUCCUCCUCCCUGCUGCCCAGCUGGCUGUCCAAAAGUAUGAGGAGCUGUUCCCGGCUUUCUCUGAUUCCCGGGAAUGCAAGUUGAUGAAAAAAUUGCUAGAGGCCCACGAGGAGCAGAAUGUGGACAGCUACACCGAGUCGGUGAAGGAAUACGAUUCCAUCUCCCGGCUGGACCAGUGGCUCACCACCAUGCUGCUGCGCAUCAAGAAGACCAUCCAGGGCGACGAGGAGGACCUGCGCUAAGCCCCACCCAGCCCCCUAGUGCCCAUCUUCCUGUCCCAUCUGCUCAGAGAGGUGGGGCCGAGACUUGCUGGAGAGCUUCCCUCCUUUCCUACCUGGGGAGUCCCGCGGGCCACAGUGGGCAGGCGGCACCGGGGGUCAGCAUGCAGGGGCACCAGAGGCCCAGGCUGCUGGCUGGACAGUCAUCCUCUGUUCUCGCUACAUCCCUUGCCCCUUGUCCAUUUAUUUAAGCCCCCAUAGGUGCCCUUCACCCCCAAAACCAGCUGUACAGAAUCUUUGAUAUGGACCUAUUUGCUAGGGGUGCUGCCGGGGGUUUGGGGUCAGCAUCUGGCCCCCUAUCUCCUGACCAGCUGAGUCAUGAGGCCGGUUUCUGUCUCUCCCACUUUUGUCCCCCAGCCAAGCUCUAAAGCACAUGUAGCCGCUGAGACCUGCUGUUUCUGCUGGGGGCAGGCUCCUCUUCCCCCAGCCCCGGGAGCCUCCCCCAGCUUCCUGCAGCCCCGACCUCUCAGGUUAGACCCUGGGCCCUGGAGCUUAGGGGAUUCUCCCCCACCCCAGCCCCACACCUGCUCCUUCCCUAAUGCUUUGAGGUUUUCUUGGUUGGAAGCUGCAGCUGGCCCAAGAAAGAA
RNAcentral lists this small RNA (1465 nucleotides) under Pongo abelii (Sumatran orangutan). RNAcentral's name for it is "retained intron". Lineage: Eukaryota; Metazoa; Chordata; Mammalia; Primates; Hominidae. The record is from RNAcentral.